CCGCGGUUUCGGUUCCGGGAGUCCGGAUUUUUGUGCGCCCAGGCCUUGCUUUCGCGCCCGGCUGGGGAUAACUGCGCAGCCACCGUAGGGCUGGCCGACCGCCAGGCGCGGGCGCGCGAGCGGGCGCGCAGGCGUUUGUGCGCACGCGCCCUCGGACGCGCGUGCGCGCGUAUAGUCCGGGAACUGGGAACAGGAAGCAGAGGGGAAGGGGUGGGGUUGAACCCGGGUCUCGCGCAUGCGGGCGGCAUACAAAGCAUUUGGCGGGUUUUUCCGGGCUGCUCUGCUCUAAUCCGGUCUUGAGAUGUUCAGUGGUGGCUUUUAGGAAGCUGGACGUUCUCCCCAGGAGAACGACUUCUCAAGAUUUCUGCUCUCUUCCUUCAGGCGUUUGGGGGCUUCAAGAAAAAGAAAACGUGUUUCUCCGUGACUGACGGCUGGGGCCUUCCGACGGCCUGAGGUCUUGGGCCAUUUGGUCACUCUCCGUCUCGGUCCCUCGGAGGGUGAAAGGAUCAGAGGGACCUCGUCCUGCUCAUCGAUCUCCACGCCUGUGGGUUUCUUGGCGUCAGGUCGGAGCUGGGUGGGCCCCGGCCCCGGCCCUCCUCCUGGGUCAUCAUGGCCGUGUCCGCCCAGCUCUUGGUGGAGGAGUUGGAGAUCUUCGGCCUAGAAUGCGAGGAGGCUCUGGUUGAGAAGUUGAUAGAGCUGUGUGUUCUGUAUGGACAGAAUGAGGAGGGAAUGGCUGGCGAGCUUAUAGCCUUCUGCACCAGCACACGUAAAGACUGCCUCACCUCAGAGACCCUAAACUCUUUUGAGCACGAGUUUCUGAGCAAAAGAUUGUCCAAAGCCAGGCUCAGUGCCUCCAAGGACAGUGGGCACGCGGGAGCCAGAGACAUCGUUUCCAUACAAGAGCUAAUUGAAGUGGAGGAGGAAGAGGAGACCCUCUUGAAUGCUUACACCACACCCUCUAAGGGUUCUCAGAAGCGAGCUAUCACCACUCCGGAAACCCCCCUCACAAAAAGGAGUGUGUCUACUCGAAGCCCCCAUCAGCUCCUGUCACCAUCAAGUUUCUCUCCAAGUGCUACUCCCUCUCAGAAAUACAGCUCGAGAAGUAACCGAGGAGAAGUGGUUACCUCCUUUGGCUCAGCACAGGUGAUGUCUUGGUCCGGGAGAGAAGGCGCCAGUAACAUCAGCGUGAAGGUCUUGGGGUAUCCAGAGCCACUAACCGGGAGCUACAAAUCCAUGUUUCAGAAGCUCCCAGACAUUCGAGAAGUUCUGACCUGUAAGAUAGAAGAACUUGGCAGUGAGCUCAAGGAGCAUUACAAGAUUGAGGCUUUUACUCCUGUUCUAGUCACAGCACAAGAGCCCGUCACCCUGCUGGGCCAGAUUGGCUGUGACAGCAACGGGAAGCUGAACCACAAGUCGGUGAUUCUUGAGGGAGAUCGGGAGCAUUCCUCAGGCGCUCAGAUUCCAGUGGAUCUAUCUGAGCUCAAAGAGUAUUCUCUGUUUCCUGGACAGGUUGUGGUUAUGGAAGGAAUCAACACCACUGGUAGAAAACUUGUUGCCACCAGACUCUACGAGGGCGUGCCACUUCCGUUCCAUCAGCCCACUGAAGAGGAUGGAGAUUCUGAGCAAAUCAUGGUCCUGGUGGCCUGUGGGCCAUACACCACAUCUGACAGCAUCACAUUUGACCCCCUGCUCGACCUGAUCACCAUCAUCAACCGUGACCAGCCCGACGUCUGCAUCCUGUUUGGACCUUUCCUGGAUGCUAAGCAUGAACAGGUAGAGAGCUGUCUACUGACAAGCCCAUUUGAAGAAGUUUUCAAGCAAUGUCUACGAACGAUUAUCGAAGGGACACGAAGUAGCUCCGGCUCACACCUCAUCUUCGUCCCAUCAUUGAGAGAUGUGCACCACGAGCCCGUGUACCCACAGCCGCCCUUCAGCUGCUCCGACCUGCCUCGGGAGGACAAAAAGGUACCAGCGUCCCCUCCUCGACCAGGCAGCCAGAGUCCAACGUGCCGAAGGCGACCCAACUCGUCCCGGAAGCAGAGGGCGGGGGCGCCUUUGAGGCACACGUGCCUGCGUCUUAAGCUUCUCUUUGUAACAGGCAGGCGUGUGACUUACUGUCCGUUGGGUUGGUCCCCCUUUCACUGGUCCCCCCAGCCCUUGCAGACCCCCCAUUUUCAUGGGGAAGAAGUUUCUAGCUUUGGUGUGCAAACGUCUGUCCCCCGCUUCUCAUUUUAGCGAGUGCAGUUUGUGUCCGAGCCCUGCACGCUCUCCAUAAAUGGAACGAUCUUUGGCUUGACAUCCACCGAUCUGCUGCUCCACAUGGGGGCUGAGGAGAUCAGUAGGUGAGAAGGGUUUUUCGGUCCCGCAGGCAGUUCCUCUGGAUCCUGGUCCUGUCCUUGGCCAAGGGGUUGCUUGGCAGGGUUGAGAGGGCAGCCCCUAGAGCAGCACUUUCUGCCAAAGCCUUUGGCCACUGAGUUUCUCUGCACCCAAGGGGAGCGGUGGGAUGCAUGUGUUUCUGUUACCACUUGUUUCUGUGGUGUUUGAGACCCUGAAGCACCACAUCCAUUCUGUCUUUGCACUUAACUUCUAGUCAUAGAAGUUCAUCUACUUUUCUUUGUUUGCCACAUUUGUGACCUAAACAAGAUGUCCCUGCUUGUAGAGGGUGACUGUGAAUUCACCCCGCAGGGUGUUCCCCCUUCCAGAACAGUGUGUAGCCCUGCGGAGGAUCAGACACAGCCAGAAGUGUUGAGCUGAGGCUCAGCGGUUCACUGCUCGCAUCGCCAUCAUGGGAAGGAGUGUGGAGCAGUUUGCGUCCUAGGCGAGAAUGGGUGUGUGUUUGUUGGCUCCGGUUGGAGGAGCAAGGGUCACGCCGGCUACAGCUGGCCUCGCGCCGGCACAGACUCCACGUUCUCUGGCACGAUGCGGAGCUGGUGAUAGCCUGCCUGGGCCCUGAUCGCAAGGGGUUCCUGCUCUUUCCCUUCUCAACCCAGUGUCCUGCUCAGCAGACCGAGCAUUUGCGGGCAGGUCUUUAAACUUCCCCAGAGGUACCUUCUUGUCACACGCCUUGGCCGCGUCACUUCUCUCUAGUUUAAUAACUCCUUCCCGAGGAGAAACAGGCACUGAUAAACAAGGUUCCACUUUCCGUUUCUUGCUUUUCUUCCUCUCCUAGUUCUUCCGGAACUUCAGACAGGUUCAGCCGAAUACUCAAGCACAUCCUGACGCAGCGGAGGUGAGCCUGCCCGACGGAGUAGCUGACCGUGAAGGGAGCGCUUAGGGCUCAGGGAGCUCUGACAGAUUUGACCUCGACACCUUUCCCAGGCCACUACCAGGGAACUCCACCCUGGGAUGACAAGCCUGCGUCCUGUCCCCUAAACACAGAGGAAAGGGAGAGACGCUACUACCCGCUCUACCCUCCCCAGGAGGACAUGGCCAUUGACUAUGAGAAUUUCUAUGCCUAUGCACAGCUGCCCGUCACCCCCGAUGUCUUCAUAGCCCCUUCAGAGCUGAGAUACUUUGUGAAGG
RNA transcript from Globicephala melas (long-finned pilot whale), 3522 nucleotides. It is a transcript of the gene named DNA polymerase alpha 2, accessory subunit, with no coding region annotated. Lineage: Eukaryota; Metazoa; Chordata; Mammalia; Artiodactyla; Delphinidae. The record is from RefSeq and is a predicted model, not a curated record.